RNAcentral lists this ribosomal RNA (468 nucleotides) under uncultured bacterium. RNAcentral's name for it is "partial 16S ribosomal RNA". It matches the Rfam family "Bacterial small subunit ribosomal RNA", at positions 28 to 507 of the family's 1533-position model. The record is from RNAcentral.
GACGAACGCUGGCGGCGUGCUUAACACAUGCAAGUCGAACGGAAAGGCCCUGCUUUUGUGGGGUGCUCGAGUGGCGAACGGGUGAGUAACACGUGAGUAACCUGCCCUUGACUUUGGGAUAACUUCAGGAAACUGGGGCUAAUACCGGAUAGGAGCUCCUGCUGCAUGGUGGGGGUUGGAAAGUUUCGGCGGUUUGGGAUGGACUCGCGGCUUAUCAGCUUGUUGGUGGGGUAGUGGCUUACCAAGGCUUUGACGGGUAGCCGGCCUGAGAGGGUGACCGGCCACAUUGGGACUGAGAUACGGCCCAGACUCCUACGGGAGGCAGCAGUGGGGAAUAUUGAACAAUGGGCGGAAGCCUGAUGCAGCAACGCCGCGUGCGGGAUGACGGCCUUCGGGUUGUAAACCGCUUUCGCCUGUGACGAAGCGUGAGUGACGGUAAUGGGUAAAGAAGCACCGGCUAACUACGUG